GCUAGUAACGCUCGAGCGGGAGGCGCCUAAUACAUGCAAGUCGAGCGGACCGACGGGAGCUUGCUCCCUUAGGUCAGCGGCGGACGGGUGAGUAACACGUGGGUAACCUGCCUGUAAGACUGGGAUAACUCCGGGAAACCGGGGCUAAUACCGGAUGCUUGAUUGAACCGCAUGGUUCAAUCAUAAAAGGUGGCUUUUAGCUACCACUUACAGAUGGACCCGCGGCGCAUUAGCUAGUUGGUGAGGUAACGGCUCACCAAGGCGACGAUGCGUAGCCGACCUGAGAGGGUGAUCGGCCACACUGGGACUGAGACACGGCCCAGACUCCUACGGGAGGCAGCAGUAGGGAAUCUUCCGCAAUGGACGAAAGUCUGACGGAGCAACGCCGCGUGAGUGAUGAAGGUUUUCGGAUCGUAAAACUCUGUUGUUAAGGGAAGAACAAGUACCGUUCGAAUAGGGCGGACCUUGA
Molecule: ribosomal RNA, 469 nt
Filed under: Bacillus licheniformis
Lineage: Bacteria; Bacillati; Bacillota; Bacilli; Caryophanales; Bacillaceae
Description: bacterial SSU rRNA
Rfam family: Bacterial small subunit ribosomal RNA
Source: RNAcentral